This is a long non-coding RNA of Cyprinus carpio (common carp), 481 nucleotides long. RefSeq lists it as uncharacterized. The record is from RefSeq and is a predicted model, not a curated record. The transcript has 2 exons. NCBI's taxonomy places the organism in Eukaryota, Metazoa, Chordata, Actinopteri, Cypriniformes, Cyprinidae.
GCGUGCUCUGGAUGCCUCGGGUGGCAGACUUUUAUACCAUCCAGCAAAAGUGUGCAAGAUUGUCAGGGCGUGUGGUGUUUUGCACAAUAUAGCACUGAGAAACGGUAUUCCUCUCCCUCCUGAUCUCCCUCUCCCCCAGCAUUACGCCCCCGAGCCACAGCCCCCUGGCCGACAAGAGGGAUAUCAACGAGGUGCAAGAAUCCGUGAGGAUGUCAUGCGGCGUUUGUAAAGAAAGACAAAACUCAAGGACUGCGUCAGUGAGUACCCGACCACUUUUGGACGUGCCAGACGCAGAAGGGGCACUGCUUUGAGCCGGACGCUGUGCAUCUGCAUCUGAGAACCCCUCACCCUGAACCUCCUGUUCAUUUACAGCUUCAGACUCCGGAAGGACUGGAGGACAAACAAUUGGCAACAUUUAUCCAUUUAUCACCCCACACACUCAAAUGUACAGCGUUAAUGAUUAAAAAUCGGUUUAACCUUG